RNAcentral lists this ribosomal RNA (253 nucleotides) under uncultured bacterium. RNAcentral describes it as "partial 16S ribosomal RNA". It matches the Rfam family "Bacterial small subunit ribosomal RNA", at positions 524 to 776 of the family's 1533-position model. The record is from RNAcentral.
UACAGGGGGUGCAAACGUUGCUCGGAAUUAUUGGGCGUAAAGCGCGCGUAGGCGGCUACUUAAGUCGGAUGUGAAAGCCCUUGGCUUAACUGAGGAAGUGCAUCCGAAACUGGCAGACUGGAGUACUGCAGGGGAGACUGGAAUUCCUGGUGUAGCGGUGGAAUGCGCAGAUAUCAGGAGGAACACCGGUGGCGAAGGCGGGUCUCUGGGCAGUAACUGACGCUGAGGAGCGAAAGCGUGGGGAGCGAACAGG